GAUGAAGAACGCAGCGAAAUGCGAUAAGUAAUGUGAAUUGCAGAAUUCAGUGAAUCAUCGAAUCUUUGAACGCACAUUGCGCCCCGUGGUAUUCCGCGGGGCAUGCCUGUUCGAGCGUCAUUACACCACUCAAGCCUCGCUUGGUAUUGGGCGACGCGGUACGCCGCGCGCCUCAAAUCUUCCGGCUGGUUCGAAUCGUCCCUCAGCGUUGUGGAAACUAUUCGCUAAAGGUGCGCGUUUCGGUCACGCCGUUAAACAAGCCAAUUUCAUUAAAGGUUGACCUCGGAUCAGGUAGGGAUACCCGCUGAACUUAAGCAUAUCAAUAACGGAGGA
Molecule: unclassified non-coding RNA, 333 nt
Filed under: soil metagenome
Description: partial contains 5.8S ribosomal RNA, internal transcribed spacer 2, and large subunit ribosomal RNA
Rfam family: 5.8S ribosomal RNA (bases 1-120)
Source: RNAcentral